RNAcentral lists this long non-coding RNA (880 nucleotides) under Selaginella moellendorffii. Its description in RNAcentral is "long non-coding RNA (SMOE_LNC000797)". Lineage: Eukaryota; Viridiplantae; Streptophyta; Lycopodiopsida; Selaginellales; Selaginellaceae. The record is from RNAcentral.
CCUGAGAGGGUGCCUUUUGUCUCCGCUCGUUCUGCUUUCGUUCUUCCUCGAUCAGGUCCGAGUAGAGCGAGUCCAAGUCCUUUCCAGGCACAGCCGAGAGCAUCGAUGCGAAAGGUUGGAGAUCAGGGGAGACAGAGCUCAGAAGGAAUGCCUUAGCUUGAUCGAUGGUGAUUGCCGCUUCCGCGUCCUUCAGCUCGGUGAUCAUCGCUUUAAACUUUCCAAUGUAAGUGGCCAUGGUGUCAUCAGGUUGCAUUCUCAUCGUGAAGAACCUUUGUGUUAGCACCACCUUAGCAUUGGCAGCUUUGGCAGCGAAGAUUUGUGUAAGGGAUGUCCAGUUCUGGUGGGCUGUUUUGGUAAGAUCAAGGAGAUGAACGAAUUCAUCCCCAAGACCUAACCCGAUGACAAAGAGCGCUUUUCGAUUCUUGGAGUCCCAGUCGAGCCGUUGGGUUACAUCCGCAGCAGCCGGACGUUGAGUCGUUCCAUCCACUAUAGGCCAGCAGUCCUUGGCCAAACGGAUAAGCUGUACUUUUGUUUUCCAAGUGGAGAAAUUCUGUCCCGUGAACUUUUGGAGAAGUUUCUCCCAGCCCCCAGAGUCCCAAGAAUUUCCAGAAGACAUUCUAUCUAUUAAUCUAAGAAUAGAUUAAACAGAGAAUUUAGAAAGGACGGCGUGGAGAAGAAUCGUGAAAAACUCGGCCGCAACAAGGGCACACCUUCCGGCAGGCUGGGCAAAGAGCUUGUUGGCGCUUUCGCUCCUGGAUCUUCCGCUCCACCCACGCCAGCACUGCCAAAGCGCUCCUGAGCCAAGGGUUCCUGGCCCCUUUGAUUCUUCAUCUGCCACUGUCCUCUUGCCAUUAGAUCGUUCGCUGCUCCGAUACCAUGU